RNAcentral lists this ribosomal RNA (468 nucleotides) under uncultured bacterium. Its description in RNAcentral is "partial 16S ribosomal RNA". It matches the Rfam family "Bacterial small subunit ribosomal RNA", at positions 28 to 507 of the family's 1533-position model. The record is from RNAcentral.
GACGAACGCUGGCGGCGUGCUUAACACAUGCAAGUCGAACGGAAAGGCCCUGCUUUUUUGGGAUGCUCGAGUGGCGAACGGGUGAUUAACACGUGAGUAACCUGCCCUUGACUUUGGGAUAACUUCAGGAAACUUGGGCUCAUACCGGAUAUGAGCUCCUGCUGCAUGGUGGGGGUUGGAUAGUUUCGGCGGUUGGGGAUGGACUCGCGGCUUAUCAGCUUGUUGGUGGGGUAGUGGCUUACCAAGGCUUUGACGGGUAGCCGGCCUGAGAGGGUGACCGGCCACAUUGGGACUGAGAUACGGCCCAGACUCCUACGGGAGGCAGCAGUGGGGAAUAUUGCACAAUGGGCGGAAGCCUGAGGCAGCAACGCCGCGUGCGGGAUGACGGCCUUCGGGUUGUAAACCGCUUUCGCCUGUGACGAAGCGUGAGUGACGGUAAUGUGUAAAGAAGCACCGGCUAACUACGUG